GACGAACGCUGGCGGCGUGCUUAACACAUGCAAGUCGAACGGUGAAGCGCCUUCCUUUUUGGUGGGUGUGGAUGAGUGGCGAACGGGUGAGUAACACGUGAGUAACCUGCCCCCUUCUUCUGGAUAACCGCAUGAAAGUGUGGCUAAUACGGGAUAUUCUGGGUCUGUCGCAUGAUGGGUCUGGGAAAGAUAUUGUUUCGGUGGGGGAUGGGCUCGCGGCCUAUCAGCUUGUUGGUGGGGUGAUGGCCUACCAAGGCGGUGACGGGUAGCCGGCCUGAGAGGGUGGACGGUCACACUGGGACUGAGACACGGCCCAGACUACUACGGGAGGCAGCAGUGGGGAAUAUGGCACAAUGGGCGCAAGCCUGAUGCAGCGACGCCGCGUGAGGGAUGGAGGCCUUCGGGUUGUGAACCUCUUUCGCCAGUGAAGCAGGCCUGCCUCGUUUGUGGGUGGGUUGACGGUAGCUGGAUAAGAAGCGCCGGCUAACUACGUG
RNAcentral lists this ribosomal RNA (494 nucleotides) under uncultured bacterium. Its description in RNAcentral is "partial 16S ribosomal RNA". It matches the Rfam family "Bacterial small subunit ribosomal RNA", at positions 28 to 507 of the family's 1533-position model. The record is from RNAcentral.